CGGGCUCUGGAUCCGACUU
This 19-nucleotide unclassified non-coding RNA is filed under the name Mus musculus (house mouse). RNAcentral describes it as "oocyte_clustered_small_RNA13523". The record is from RNAcentral. Lineage: Eukaryota; Metazoa; Chordata; Mammalia; Rodentia; Muridae.